This is a non-coding RNA of Parelaphostrongylus tenuis, 76 nucleotides long. NCBI's taxonomy places the organism in Eukaryota, Metazoa, Nematoda, Chromadorea, Rhabditida, Metastrongylidae. The record is from the annotation of a GenBank genome assembly.
UCCUCGGUAGUAUAGUGGUUAGUAUCCGCGCCUGUCGUCACGUGCGAGACCCGGGUUCAAUUCCCAGGCCGUGGAG